This 321-nucleotide ribosomal RNA is filed under the name uncultured Pseudomonas sp. RNAcentral's name for it is "bacterial SSU rRNA". It matches the Rfam family "Bacterial small subunit ribosomal RNA", at positions 1062 to 1382 of the family's 1533-position model. The record is from RNAcentral. Lineage: Bacteria; Pseudomonadati; Pseudomonadota; Gammaproteobacteria; Pseudomonadales; Pseudomonadaceae.
GUGUCGUGAGAUGUUGGGUUAAGGUCCCGUAACGAGCGCAACCCUUGUCCUUAGUUACCUAGCACGUUAUGGUAGGCACUCUAAGGAGACUGCCGGUGCAAACCGAGGAAGGUGGGGAUGACGUCAAGUCAUCAUGGCCCUUACGGCCUGGGCUACACACGUGCUACAAUGGUCGGUACAAAGGGUUGCCAAGCCGCGAGGUGGAGCUAAUCCCAUAAAACCGAUCGUAGUCCGGAUCGCAGUCUGCAACUCGACUGCGUGAAGUCAGAAUCGCUAGUAAUCGUGAAUCAGAAUGUCACGGUGAAUACGUUCCCGGGCCUU